AUGUCUCCUUGGCCCGCCUGAGCCCACUGUGGAGCCUGUUCCCCAGAACACCAUAUCCUUCCUCUCUCCCUGGACUCUCCGGGCCCCCUGGGAGCUUCUUCUGCAGAUCAGCGAUGCAGCUACCAAUGUGAGGGUAUCAAAGCCCUGGGACAACACUCCACCUGUGGGGACAGAGCUCACCCAGGUGAUGAGUCUCCAGAGAAGCUGAGGCUGGAUGUCCACCCAGGACUUGUUACCCGGGGCCCCCACUGAGGCCCCUGCUCUGCCUCCUUCCAUAGCCUGGCUCAGGCUGCCCAGAGUCAUCAGCCACCGAGUUCUCAUGUGCUGGCUGGACCACUUGAGCAGGCUGUCUUGACCUUCUGGACCUGAGCGUCCUCAUGUGCAAAUGGGGGCAACAGGCCCAUCUUAAAGGGGACCUUUGCAUGUGAUCACACAAAGGCAUGCAAGGUCAAAGUGCAGAUUGUUCGCAGCUAAGAGGCAAACUGCAGGAAGAAGCAGGAGUUGGUGAGGUUGGGGAAGGGUGGAGAGCUGCCUGUCAGGCAUUACACAUGGACACAGGCAGAGACACCCAGGCACAGCCGUACCCAAGCAUGUGCACACUCACAGACACACCCACACGUGGCACCCACACAUGAGCAUACACGGGCACAGGAGGAAGACGCUGCGGUCACACCUCGGUCAGGUCUGGGAGCAGAGGACAAGUGAGGGGCGUGGGCCAGAGAGCAGCAGGGCCUGUGGGGGCCUGUCCCUGAGCCUGGAGCAGGAAGGCCCUGCCUGGGGGAGGUGGGCUUGGAGGCCUUCCAGAGGCCGGGCCAGCAGGCUGAUGGGGCAGGAGCGGG
RNAcentral lists this long non-coding RNA (839 nucleotides) under Marmota monax (woodchuck). The record is from RNAcentral. Lineage: Eukaryota; Metazoa; Chordata; Mammalia; Rodentia; Sciuridae.